RNAcentral lists this ribosomal RNA (727 nucleotides) under uncultured bacterium. RNAcentral's name for it is "bacterial SSU rRNA". It matches the Rfam family "Bacterial small subunit ribosomal RNA", at positions 57 to 779 of the family's 1533-position model. The record is from RNAcentral.
GCAAGUCGAGCGGAUGAGAGGAGCUUGCUCCCUGAUUUAGCGGCGGACGGGUGAGUAAUGCCUAGGAAUCUGCCUGGUAGUGGGGGAUAACGUUCCGAAAGGAACGCUAAUACCGCAUACGUCCUACGGGAGAAAGCAGGGGACCUUCGGGCCUUGCGCUAUCAGAUGAGCCUAGGUCGGAUUAGCUAGUUGGUGAGGUAAUGGCUCACCAAGGCGACGAUCCGUAACUGGUCUGAGAGGAUGAUCAGUCACACUGGAACUGAGACACGGUCCAGACUCCUACGGGAGGCAGCAGUGGGGAAUAUUGGACAAUGGGCGAAAGCCUGAUCCAGCCAUGCCGCGUGUGUGAAGAAGGUCUUCGGAUUGUAAAGCACUUUAAGUUGGGAGGAAGGGCAGUAAGCUAAUACCUUGCUGUUUUGACGUUACCGACAGAAUAAGCACCGGCUAACUUCGUGCCAGCAGCCGCGGUAAUACGAAGGGUGCAAGCGUUAAUCGGAAUUACUGGGCGUAAAGCGCGCGUAGGUGGUUCGUUAAGUUGGAUGUGAAAGCCCCGGGCUCAACCUGGGAACUGCAUCCAAAACUGGCGAGCUAGAGUACGGUAGAGGGUGGUGGAAUUUCCUGUGUAGCGGUGAAAUGCGUAGAUAUAGGAAGGAACACCAGUGGCGAAGGCGACCACCUGGACUGAUACUGACACUGAGGUGCGAAAGCGUGGGGAGCAAACAGGAUU